RNAcentral lists this ribosomal RNA (1010 nucleotides) under Dothideomycetes sp. genotype 773 JMUR-2016. Its description in RNAcentral is "eukaryotic LSU rRNA". The stretch from base 465 to 1010 matches the Rfam family "Eukaryotic large subunit ribosomal RNA", at positions 1 to 551 of the family's 3401-position model. The record is from RNAcentral. Lineage: Eukaryota; Fungi; Ascomycota; Dothideomycetes.
CCCCCCCCGGGGGGACCCUGCCAGAGAUAGCACCCCUUGUCUUUUCCGAGCACCCAACCGUUUCCUCGGCGGGCCCGCCCGCCAACGGGGACCAACCACAAACCUUAAACCGCAGUUAAGCAGUAAACCGUACAAAACCCAAAAAAUCAAAACUUUCAACAACGGAUCUCUUGGUUCUGGCAUCGAUGAAGAACGCAGCGAAAUGCGAUAAGUAGUGUGAAUUGCAGAAUUCAGUGAAUCAUCGAAUCUUUGAACGCACAUUGCGCCCUUUGGUAUUCCUUAGGGCAUGCCUGUUCGAGCGUCAUAUCAACCCUCAAGCACCGCUUGGUGUUGGGCGCUUGUCCCCGCCCCCGGCAGGGACUCGCCCCGAAUCCAUUGGCAGCCACCGCACCGGGCCAACGAGCGCAGCAGAAUUCGCGCCUCGGGCAAGGAGCGUGGGCGACCCACUGAGCAACCCAUCAUUUUGACCUCGGAUCAGGUAGGGAUACCCGCUGAACUUAAGCAUAUCAAUAAGCGGAGGAAAAGAAACCAACAGGGAUUGCCCCAGUAACGGCGAGUGAAGCGGCAACAGCUCAAAUUUGAAAUCUGGCUCCCUCGGGGCCCGAGUUGUAAUUUGCAGAGGGUGCUUCGGCGUUGGCGCCGGCCUAAGUUCCUUGGAACAGGACGUCAUAGAGGGUGAGAACCCCGUACGUGGCAGGCCGCCUCCGCCGUGUGAAGCCCCUUCGACGAGUCGAGUUGUUUGGGAAUGCAGCUCUAAAUGGGAGGUAAAUUCCUUCUAAAGCUAAAUACUGGCCAGAGACCGAUAGCGCACAAGUAGAGUGAUCGAAAGAUGAAAAGCACUUUGGAAAGAGAGUCAAAAAGCACGUGAAAUUGUUGAAAGGGAAGCGCUUGCAGCCAGACUUGCCUGUAGUUGCUCAUCCGGGCCCCGGCCCGGUGCACUCUUCUGCGGGCAGGCCAGCAUCAGUCAGGGCGGCCGGAUAAAGGCCCCGGGAACGUAGCUCCCUCCGGGG